RNAcentral lists this long non-coding RNA (752 nucleotides) under Pan troglodytes (chimpanzee). RNAcentral's name for it is "long non-coding RNA NONPTRT000356". The record is from RNAcentral. Lineage: Eukaryota; Metazoa; Chordata; Mammalia; Primates; Hominidae.
GGGGCCUCCACCGACACCUGCUUCUUCCCUCACCUCGCAGCCUUCCACACCUGUUGAUCUGACCUCUGCCCCGCUGCCGCCAAGGAGUAACCUAAGGCUUUUGGCCUGAUUCGAGCUCACUCCGUCUAAACCUCUAAAUGCGGCAUCUUUAUCCGGAAUUCAGCUCGUCCCAAACCCCACGUGGUGUAGCUCUGCUUGUGUUUUUGAAUCCCGGGGCCUCUUUGAAUCAGAAGCCCUUUGUAUAGAGAUAAGUAUCCUUUAGGCCAGAAUCAGCCUCCAUUUUUUUCGCAGUCCCAUUUCCUACCCUUAAUACUUUCUUCUGAUUUUAAAGCCAUUUGAUAGAGAAGGGACAGGGAACAGAACCUUCGCCCCCCGCCUGAGCAGCUGGUAGACUAGAUAUCUUCCAAACAUUAUCUCAUUUACUUCCCUGGAGUUACAAAUAGGUAGAUUUCAUGUCCGUUGAGGGGUGAGAAAGCUGAAACUUUGAGACUUAAGAAUCCUGGCCGAGGUCAGCCUCCUCCGAAGCUUCAUCUCUUGCCACCACUUUCUGGUGCACACCUAGGACAGAUUUCAAUCCCUGAGAUCCCAGGAUGAAACCUAUGUUUGCCAAAUACCAGCUACUGUGCCAGAAGAGAUCAUGGAACCAGGUGUGGAAACCUGCUUGAGAAGAGGAGCCAAAACAUCAUAGUUGAACCGUCCUGGAAUAGAAUGCGUAUGAGAGUUCCAGUUCCUCUGCUUCCUCACCAACAGUU